UACCAGCACCCCGAGUGGUCGGCGCGAUUAUUGGGCCUAAAGCGUCCGUAGCCGGUUCUACAAGUCUUCCGUUAAAUCCACCUGCUUAACAGAUGGGCUGCGGAGGAUACUAUAGAGCUAGGAGGCGGGAGAGGCAAGCGGUACUUAGUGGGUAGGGGUAAAAUCCGUUGAUCCAUUGAAGACCACCAGUGGCGAAGGCGGCUUGCCAGAACGCACUCGACGGUGAGGGAUGAAAGCUGGGGGAGCAAACCGG
RNAcentral lists this ribosomal RNA (253 nucleotides) under uncultured bacterium. RNAcentral's name for it is "partial 16S ribosomal RNA". It matches the Rfam family "Archaeal small subunit ribosomal RNA", at positions 474 to 727 of the family's 1478-position model. The record is from RNAcentral.